GCGGUUGAAAGCUCGUAGUUGGGUUUCUGCGGAGGAAGCGCGGUCCGCACUUGGUGCGUGUAUCUGGUCUACCUACGCAUCUUCCAGUGAAACGCUACUGCGCUUUAUUGCGUGGCGCGGCAAUCUGGACUUUUACUUUGAGGAAAUUGGAGUGUUUACAGCGAGCGAUUGGUUUGAACAUAUUAGCAUGGAAUAAUAACCUAGAACCUUGGUUCUACUUUGUUGGUUUCUAGACUAGGGUAAUGAUCAAUAGGGAUAAUUGGGGGCAUUUGUAUCAACACGUCAGAGGUGAAAUUCUUGGAUUGUGUUACGACGAACCACUGCGAAAGCAUUUGCCAAGGAUGUUUUCAUUGAUCAAGAACGAAAGUGCAGGGAUCGAAGACGAUUAGAUACCGUCGUAGUCUGUUUUGUAAACUAUGCCGAUUAAAGAUUGGAGGUCGUUCUUAUUGUGGCUCCUUCAGUAAUUUAUGAGAAAUCAAAAUUCUUGGGUUCCGGGGGGAGUAUGGUCGCAAGGCUGAAACUUAAAGGAAUUGACGGAAGGGCACCACCAGGAGUGGAGCCUGCGGCUUAAUUUGACUCAACACGGGGAAACUCACCAGGUCCAGACAUAGCAAGGAUUGACAGAAUGACAGCUCUUUCUUGAUUCUGUGGGUGGUGGUGCAUGGCCGUUCUUAGUUGGUGGAGUGAUUUGUCUGGUUAAUUCCGUUAACGAACGAGAUCUUAUCCUGCUAAAUAGGAACGUGUGUCUUCGGACAUGCAGGUUGCUUCUUAGAGGGACUUUGCGAAUUGCAGCGUAGGGAAGGUUGAGGCAAUAACAGGUCUGUGAUGCCCUUAGAUGUUCUGGGCUGCACGCGCGCUACACUGAUGCGUUCAACGAGUAUGCCUUGUCCGGCAGGACUGGGGAAUCUUGUGAAAGCGCGUCGUGAUGGGGAUAGAACACUGUAAUUAUUG
Molecule: ribosomal RNA, 951 nt
Filed under: uncultured Syndiniales
Lineage: Eukaryota; Dinophyceae; Syndiniales
Description: SSU rRNA
Rfam family: Eukaryotic small subunit ribosomal RNA
Source: RNAcentral